UACCAGCAAUGCAAAACCAAAUCCCAUUAGCGUGGCCUACGAUAUAAGUUCGCGCUAACUUUUGCGCUGACAUGGCUCAGAAAUGGAGACAAAACCUAUGAAAUGACGAAGCAUGGAAUACCCUCAUGACUGCCUAAACAUCUGGUAUUUAAGGUGAUGCGUCCCAGAACUUAGCACUUUCAAUUAAGAAUCCACCAUGUUACACAAUGCCUGUCAAAAUUUGUAUAUCCUUAGCGAAAGGGUAUUGCAAACAGCAAUCCUAGGGGCUUGGCUUGUGUUUAGCUGUUUGACAUUUGCCUGCGGGUCAGAGUGCAUCCAUCCAGGAGCGAAGGUCGUGGUGAUAAGCUGUAAAUAUCGAUUGGAAUUAUCAGCUGCAGUCCAUCAAUAUUUUCUGCGGCCAUCCGCUUAGUGCCUAUAAAUACAAACUUCAAGCAGAGUUCGAGCAGCAUAUGCUGCCAAUCGGAGAGUAAGAGGAAGAAGAGCUCACCAAUUCGGACUGGGCUCAAUUUGAUUGCGUUCACAUUGAAACUUCGAGGCAAAGUUUUGAACGAAGACAAACUUUUGUGUAAGCGAUAUAUCAAACCGAAGGCCAGCGCCAAAAUAAAUAGCUAAAUAUUAAAAGCAA
Molecule: long non-coding RNA, 625 nt
Organism: Drosophila mojavensis
Lineage: Eukaryota; Metazoa; Arthropoda; Insecta; Diptera; Drosophilidae
Exons: 2
Source: RefSeq, a predicted model, not a curated record